UGGAAAACAACAAAAAGAGACCAUCAUGAAGUCUGUCUUGCUCCUAUGCUGGAAAGAGGUGGGGCUUUUGCAUGCCUCUAUUGUCUUAUUAUGUGCUUGUGUGUGUAUGUUGCAGAGACAGGUCAGCUAACGUUUCCAUAGAGGGGGAUUGGUCAGUCUCCAUGAAAUUUGACCAAAGAUGGACACUUCCACUCCAUCUCUGCUGUCUGCUGUCAAUGACCCGGGAACGCCAACUCAGCUCUUUGAUGUGCCGCCGACGACAGACUUCUAGCAGCCUUACAGAAGUAACCUAGACCGACCCUUGUCAACCUGCUUCAGACUGCCAAAUCGGAGGGAAAGGAAACUGGUGCAAUUACGUCAGCUUAAGGUUAGGGUCUGUUUUUCAGAUCUGUGUCGGCUGCCUAUUAGUGCUGACCUGGUGUUUCUGGUGCCUUUUUCCUGACCUCAAGAGGGGGAAGACGGCAUUAUCCAUCUGGGCCUGUCGGUUCUUUUCGGUGCCAUUCCAUACCCAAGCAGGUGGUGUGUUAUGUUUCACUCUGGGAAAUGUGGGAAACCAGAACUUAAAGGCCCUGACAACCUACUUUCUCAAUCCGCUUCUGACGGACGAGCAGUCCCAUCCGUCUUCUGUGUUCAGUAAUGGGGGCUCAGAGUGGCUUGCGCUCGGCCCCCUGAUCCGUCCUCAUUUGGUUGGCAUUUCGUUACGGGCCAGACACUCUUCCUGUGACACGGAAAGAAACUCAGACUACCCCCUCCUUCCUUUUCCACCUGCCAUCCUCUCCACUAUUUCUCUUUCCCUUCUCCUUGCUUCUUUCUCUCUCACUUUGACAGAAACAAACACACACAGACAUACACACAAUUUCUUCCCUUGUCUGCAUCUCAGCUUUCUCACCACAACCACAGGAUGAGGCAAAAUGAGGACAAAUUGAUAUGAAUCCCAAGGAAAAGAAGCCAGGGGGUAAAAAAAAAAAAAAAGAAAAUAUGUAGCAGCGCCCGUCUGCAAGGCAACUGUAAGCAUAAAUCCACUGAUGUACUGCUGUUCACUCUGUAAGUGCGUCCAUUCCUCAUUAUGAUGCCCAUAUAACGGGAAGAACUUCUAGGACAACCCAAUGUCACCCACCGGCAUCAGAUGCUGUGGAUCAUCUUUGAUUUUGAAUUCACCAUCAAUAUAAAUUCCAGAUAAAAUGAUAGAAAUUUAAUUUCAGCUCAGUGGCUUCUCAAAGCUUUUCGGCUCUGACUGAUGUCUCCAUAGUGGACUUAAAAAGGGGUAUGCAGCACAAAUAAAGCCGUAUAGAGUCAACCUGAUAAAAGUGAUCUGCCUUGCCUGGCCAAGGAUAAUGCAUACGGGCGGUGUGCUGCAAUGCACGCUGUGGCUGAAUACCCUGUGGCUUAAAACAGGAGCCGACAGCAGCCCCAUCUCGGUUAAAGGCAAUUCCCCUUCAUAGUGGUUCUUUAGCCCUGAGCUGCCGGGUCCAAAACAAAGCCAGUCAAUCUAAUCAUGAGAAAAGGUGAGCGGGGAGGGCGGGACAAAGAAAGAAAUGGAGGGAGGCAGAGAAAGCCUUCCUGUGUAUGUGUGUAUCUGUGCACAAGAGAGAGUGAGUGGGAGCCAGGGCUUUGCUACAUCAAUCCUAUGAACUUGGAGGCCCCUGCUUGGCUCUCAGAGGUGUUUAUGUGUCUAAAACCCAGAAUCAUCCUGUCCACUGCUCUCACUGUCUGAGAGAAAAACUGUGGGAGACUCUGUGUUUUAUCGGCCCACUCUUAAACCUCUCCUGUGUUCAUCUUUGCUGUAUGUGCAUCUUCAUUUUUGCAUAUAGUACCUGCAUAUAGAGUGCAGUGUUCUCACACAGACCCACAAUUUCAUCCAGUAAAAAUUCUAUGUACCCUUUAAACUCCUGCGCACAUCAGCGCAUGCACAAAACACCCUCACAGAAGCAUGCACAUGCACACUUUUUGGUUUUCUCUGCAGCACAUGGGAAUAAAGGUCCAUUGUGUAGGUGUGCUAGGUGAGGUGAGCGCUCAAGUCUAGUCAGCAUAACAUGGCUUCGCCGAGCUGCUGGAUAGCCCUACUGCUGAGCGCUGCAAGUACAGUACAUCUCAAUUUGUUCUGGGGGGGAUCAAAUUCUACUGCCUUGCAAAUCUCACCGAGCAGCAGGCGAAGCACACGAUGAAUAAAUGGAGAACUGUAGGAAAUAUAAUAGAGCUGUGUUUGAACCACUAGAACCCAAGCGGAGCCUGGGUAUCUGUAUCCAUAAACUAUCUGCGGGGAGUCUGUCCAGGUUGGAUGCAAAAUAAAUCAGUGUGAUUCAGCAUAAUUACAGGCUGAAAAUCAUGCAGAAUUGCUUAUGAUAUUCACAUCUCUUUGUAGAUGAAAGGAAUAUUUGCUGUAAACAUUGCUGUAUAGGUGAAUAUUAAAAGUUUCUUCUCCUCCAUGGAUGACAGUUAAUAUGAGUCUGAAGCCUUAUUAAUAAUCACAGCCUUCUGAUGGAUGUUAUUAAUCUUUCAUUCAGAACCGACCUGAGACAGAAAAGGAUAAAGUCCUUAAAGGUCUGGAGAAGGUUGGAGAGCAGAGGUCGAGAAAGGACAGCUCUAUCCUAAUUACUGUCAUCAGUCACUCUUGCCCCUUAAUGUAUUUGAUACUCUUCAGGAAAUGAAAAACCUCAUCACUAAUAACUGAUAUCACCUAGCUGAGAAGGACUUUCACUAAGCAAGACAUUUUCUUGCUGGUGUUUUAUCACAUUCUUUUCCCCUUCAAGGUGGUCAGAGGUGAAAUUAGUCACCACUUGUUUGUAGAAAGAAAAGGGCAUGUUGACAAAUCAUAGUAUAGUAUGUCGCCUGAAAAUUGAUAAAAACAUCAUACUAGUAGUACAGUAUGUCGAAAAGUGUCAAAAUAUGACAUGUCAAAAAAAGGUCUGAAAACCACUCAUUAUUGCAUGUUCAGGCACCUCAUUGUAGAAUAUGUCGGAAAAAAUGACUAAAGACUUCAAAAUAUAACAUGUUAAAAAAAACGACUGAAAGUAUACAAUAUAGUAGGGGAGAGUGGGGUGAUUUGAGCCAGUUUUUACUUGAGGCAUAUUUUAAGUAAGGGUGUGACAGAUAUGUCUCCAACUAAUUGACACAUAUAUUUCAGGAUGUGGUGCAUCCCAUGGAAAAAUAACAAUUCAAAAUAGAUUGUAACUCUUCAAAAAAAGUUGUCUCUCGGCUCAACUAGCCCCUUAUAGCAUGUCGAAAAAUGGUCAAAAAAGUUGUGGUUCCUCAUGUCCAAAAGAGUCAUAGCAUAGCAUGUUUAAGUAUUGUUUGGCAUGGCAUGUUGAAAUGGUCCAAAAAGUCAAUAUUUAAAAUGUUUUAAAGUCUGAGUAAAGUACGUUAAAAGCACCAUACUUUAGAAUGUCGAAAAAUUGUUAAUAAAGUGAUCCCUCCAAAUGCUGAAAAAAAGUCACAGUACAGCAUGCUGAAGCAGUUUAUAAUAUGGCGUGUUGA
Molecule: long non-coding RNA, 3474 nt
Organism: Plectropomus leopardus (leopard coralgrouper)
Lineage: Eukaryota; Metazoa; Chordata; Actinopteri; Perciformes; Serranidae
Source: RefSeq, a predicted model, not a curated record